GCAUUAAGUGAUCCGCCUUGGGGAGCACGGCCAGCAAGGUUAAAACUCAAAGGAAUUGACGGGGGCCCGGCACAACCGGUGGAGCAUGUGGAUUAAUUGCGACGCAACCGCGAAGAACCUUACGUACGGUUUGACAUCUCGGGAAAUCCCGGCGGAAACGCGGGGAGUGCCCUUCUGGGAGCCCGGAGACAGGUGAUGCAUGGCUGUCGUCAGUUCGCGUCUUGAGAUUGUUGGAUUAAGUCCCGCAACGAGCGCAACCCCUAUCUUUAGUUACCAGCAUUUAGGAUGGGGACUCUGGAGAUACUGCACCGGUCAACGGGGAGGAAGGCUCGGGGAUGACAGUCAAGUCCUCAUGGCCCUUAUGCCUAGGGCUACACACGUAGCAACAAUGGGCGGUACAGAGGUCAGCAGACCCUGUGAGGGUGAGCCAAUCUCAUAAACCCGUCCCAAGUUCGGAUUGGAGUCUGCAACUCGACUCCAUGAAGCUGGAAUCGCUAGUAAUCUCGGAUUAGCAUACCACGUGNAUCCGUUCACGGGCCUUGUACACACCGCCACGUCACACCAUGAGA
This 569-nucleotide ribosomal RNA is filed under the name uncultured organism. Its description in RNAcentral is "bacterial SSU rRNA". It matches the Rfam family "Bacterial small subunit ribosomal RNA", at positions 857 to 1409 of the family's 1533-position model. The record is from RNAcentral.